RNAcentral lists this ribosomal RNA (253 nucleotides) under uncultured bacterium. RNAcentral's name for it is "partial 16S ribosomal RNA". It matches the Rfam family "Bacterial small subunit ribosomal RNA", at positions 524 to 776 of the family's 1533-position model. The record is from RNAcentral.
UACGGAGGGUGCAAGCGUUAUCCGGAUUCACUGGGUUUAAAGGGUGCGUAGGUGGGAAUGUAGGUCAGUGGUGAAAUCUCCGUGCUUAACAUGGAAACUGCCAUUGAUACUAUGUUUCUUGAAUCUUCCGGAGGUCAGCGGAAUAUGUCAUGUAGCGGUGAAAUGCUUAGAUAUGACAUAGAACACCAAUUGCGAAGGCAGCUGACUACAGGGGCAUUGACACUGAGGCACGAAAGCGUGGGGAUCAAACAGG